AGCCUCAUUCCAGAUGUGAAUAAGCACAGUUGAGCAUCGUGUUCAGAAUUGCAAAUUGGCUAAAUUGAGACGCAGGUUAUGCUUCCAUCACAGUAAAUUUAUUGCCGUGGUGACAGUGAGUCCUGUAACAGAU
RNAcentral lists this small nucleolar RNA (133 nucleotides) under Choloepus hoffmanni (Hoffmann's two-fingered sloth). RNAcentral's name for it is "Small nucleolar RNA SNORA1 (ENSCHOG00000014389.1)". It matches the Rfam family "Small nucleolar RNA SNORA1". From Rfam's summary of the family: ACA1 is a member of the H/ACA class of snoRNA that guide the sites of modification of uridines to pseudouridines. Lineage: Eukaryota; Metazoa; Chordata; Mammalia; Pilosa; Megalonychidae. The record is from RNAcentral.